CCUACGGGUGACAGCAGUGGGGAAUAUUGCGCAAUGGGCGCAAGCCUGGUCCAGCACCGCCGCGUGAAGGAAGAAGGCUUUCGGGUUGUAAACUUCUUUUCAGAGGGAAGAGCAGAAGACGGUAGCUCUUGAAAAAGCCACGGCUAACUACGUGCCAGCAGCCGCGGUAAUACGUAGGUGGCAAGCGUUGUCCGGAUGUACUGGGUGUAAAGGGCGUGCAGCCGGGAAGACAAGUCAGAUGUGAAAUCCCGCGGCUCAACCGCGGAACUGCAUUUGAAACUGUUUUUCUUGAGUACAGGAGAGGUCAGUGGAAUUCCGGGUGUAGCGGUGAAAUGCGUAGAUAUAAGGAAGAACACCAGUGGCGAAGGCGGAUGACUGGACGGCAACUGACGGUGAGGCGCGAAAGCGUGGGGAGCAAACAGGAUUAGAUACCCUAGUAGUC
This 442-nucleotide ribosomal RNA is filed under the name uncultured bacterium. Its description in RNAcentral is "partial 16S ribosomal RNA". It matches the Rfam family "Bacterial small subunit ribosomal RNA", at positions 338 to 795 of the family's 1533-position model. The record is from RNAcentral.